AAGCAACGCGAAGAACCUUACCAGGUCUUGACAUCCCUCUGAAUACGGUAGAGAUAUCGUAGGCCUUCGGGACAGAGGAGACAGGUGGUGCAUGGUUGUCGUCAGCUCGUGUCGUGAGAUGUUGGGUUAAGUCCCGCAACGAGCGCAACCCUUGAUCUUAGUUGCCAGCAGGUAAGGCUGGGCACUCUAAGAUGACUGCCGGUGACAAACCGGAGGAAGGUGGGGAUGACGUCAAAUCAUCAUGCCCCUUAUGACCUGGGCUACACACGUACUACAAUGGCCGGUACAACGGGAAGCGAAGUCGCGAGACGGAGCCAAUCCUUAUAAGCCGGUCUCAGUUCGGAUUGCAGGCUGCAACUCGCCUGCAUGAAGUCGGAAUUGCUAGUAAUCGCGGAUCAGCAUGCCGCGGUGAAUACGUUCCCGGGUCUUGUACACACCGCCCGUCACACCACGAGAGUUUACAACACCCGAAGUCGGUGGGGUAACCGCAAGGGGCCAGCCGCCGAAGGUGGG
RNAcentral lists this ribosomal RNA (513 nucleotides) under uncultured bacterium. RNAcentral's name for it is "bacterial SSU rRNA". It matches the Rfam family "Bacterial small subunit ribosomal RNA", at positions 954 to 1466 of the family's 1533-position model. The record is from RNAcentral.